UACCAAGGAUCAAACCCACACCCUCUGCAUUGGAAGUAGGGAGUCUGAACCACCAGAGUAUUCCAAGUUGUAUCUUACUCUAUACCUACUUGUUUAUCCCUUUUGAUCUCCUUCCUCUAUCAUGUCUUCCUCCUGUCCUCUUGACUGUUUUUAGAAUUAAAGGAUCUAAAGCUUUAAAACAUAAAUGUUUAUGGAAAGGCAAUGAGGAAUGCCUCUAAUUUCCUUUCCCACUUUACCUUCAGUUAGCCUCUGGGAUCAGCUUGAAGUAUCGAGCAGAGCCUUGGAAUGAAACAACACAGAUCAGCAAAGGACAGGUGAGGGAGAAGAAAUCCCUGAGGUCUGCAGAGUGGGACUCUGAGAAGGAGGUAAGGUGGAAGCUUGGGCACCAGGCAGGGAGCCAGCCUAGGUCCACAGGGAGAACUCAAAGACAAAAAGACAAACAGCCCACAGAGAUUAACCCUGGUCUUCAAGGCAACCACAGACUUUUCCCAGAAAAUUGAGAAACUGACCCUACUCUCUGGACACAGGACAAGGAAAUGGGUGGGGGGAAGGACACUCUUCUCAAAGCAAAUAAAUAGAAGUGAUUUAGAAAGCACCUACACGGUUGCCAUUUGGCACCGUGCAAGAAUGCCCUUCCCUUAUUUUUUACGUGUGUGUGUGUGUGUGUGUGUAUGCGUGCACACAUUGGUUUACCUCCUUUGACCUAUAUUUCUGACCAUUUUGCUUUAGUACAAAGCUGUGACAGAGCCCUCACACUUUGGGAACCCUAUGCUAGCUUCUACGAAUAUUUUUAAUAGUUUCAUCAUUGAAAUCACAGUUAUUAUAUUUGAAGUCAAAGUAGCAUCGCUCAGCCACAUGCUAAGAACUAUAGCUGCGGGCAGGUCUUUGUUUUCCAAUAAAAUUCUUCCAUGAUGUUGCAUUAAGGGGCUGCUGAGAUGACUUUCAGCUCCUCUCCAGCACUGACAUUCUUCUCCCCAUGUCUGUGCAGAGUGGAUGGACUGGCCUUGAAUGCACUCCAGGGACACCAGGCCCCAGAAUAUGCUGGCAGCAUCUGGCUCUGCCUCGGCCCCCGUGAGAAGCAGCACUCUGCCAGGUGUCAUAGCUGAUUUAACCGGAAGAAAGAUGAAAACCAGCCAUGGGAACUGAAGCUUGCCAGCAUCCCUGAGGGUCUGAUGAGCGAGAAGCACAGCAGCGUGGAGGACACCGGAGGAAUCUCCUCUGGCCAAGGAUUCCCAGGCAGUAGUGAUCCUAACCACCCGGAUCCGUCCCCAAAACGCAAAGCCACAGUGCAUGCUGAGACAGUGUGAUGGCCAGAUCUUCCAGAUCUCUCCUGCCCUUUGUAAAGCCUCUAAGCGACAGUCCACACCUUCAGCCUCCGUGUCCACAGGGGAACGAUGAAACAUUGAGAAAGAAUUUAAUGCAAAAAGCAACUGCAGGAGACUUUGGGAACAGAUGCCAAAACGUCCAUUUCCUAGCCUCCGAGACUCCUGGAGUGCUUUACUUCACUGCCUCCUGGAUGUGUAUGCUGAGACACUCUGGAAUACUUUGGGAAUAGUUUGCAUAAACAUUAUGCAAGAAAAGAAAUUAAAAAUUAAUAGAGAAAUGUGGCCACUCAGUGAAGCCUCUGCAACAAACGAGGAUGAGAGGACUUCCCUGGUGGUCCAGUGACUGGGACUCCCCACUCCCAAUUCGGGGUGUCUGCAAUCCCUGCUCAGGGCGCUGGAUCCCACAUGCCACAGCUAAGAGUUCAUAUGAGGCAACCAAGACCCAGUGCAGC
Non-coding RNA from Odocoileus virginianus texanus, 1777 nucleotides. The record is from RefSeq and is a predicted model, not a curated record. NCBI's taxonomy places the organism in Eukaryota, Metazoa, Chordata, Mammalia, Artiodactyla, Cervidae.